GACGAACGCUGUCGGCGUGCUUAACACAUGCAAGUCGAACGGAAAGGCCCUGCUUUUGUGGGGUGCUCGAGUGGCGAACGGGUGAGUAACACGUGAGUAACCUGCCCUUGACUUUGGGAUAACUUCAGGAAACUGGGGCUAAUACCGGAUAGGAGCUCCUGCUGCAUGGUGGGGGUUGGAAAGUUUCGGCGGUUGGGGAUGGACUCGCGGCUUAUCAGCUUGUUGGUGGGGUAGUGGCUUACCAAGGCUUUGACGGGUAGCCGGCCUGAGAGGGUGACCGGCCACAUUGGGACUGAGAUACGGCCCAGACUCCUACGGGAGGCAGCAGUGGGGAAUAUUGCACAAUGGGCGGAAGCCUGAUGCAGCAACGCCGCGUGCGGGAUGACGGCCUUCGGGUUGUAAACCGCUUUCGCCUGUGACGAAGCGUGAGUGACGGUAAUGGGUAAAGAAGCACCGGCUAACUACGUGCCAGCAGCCGCGGUGAUACGUAGGGUGCGAGCGUUGUCCGGAUUUAUUGGGCGUAAAGGGCUCGUAGGUGGUUGAUCGCGUCGGAAGUGUAAUCUUGGGGCUUAACCCUGAGCGUGCUUUCGAUACGGGUUGACUUGAGGAAGGUAGGGGAGAAUGGAAUUCCUGGUGGAGCGGUGGAAUGCGCAGAUAUCAGGAGGAACACCAGUGGCGAAGGCGGUUCUCUGGGCCUUUCCUGACGCUGAGGAGCGAAAGCGUGGGGAGCGAACAGGCUUAGAUACCCUGGUAGUCCACGCUGUAAACGGUGGGUACUAGGUGUGGGGUCCAUUCCACGGGUUCCGUGCCGUAGCUAACGCUUUAAGUACCCCGCCUGGGGAGUACGGCCGCAAGGCUAAAACUCAAAGGAAUUGACGGGGCCCCGCACAAGCGGCGGAGCAUGCGGAUUAAUUCGAUGCAACGCGUAGAACCUUACCUGGGUUUGACAUGGAUCGGGAGUGCUCAGAGAUGGGUGUGCCUCUUUUGGGGUCGGUUCACAGGUGGUGCAUGGCUGUCGUCAGCUCGUGUCGUGAGAUGUUGGGUUAAGUCCCGCAACGAGCGCAACCCUUGUUCACUGUUGCCAGCACGUUAUGGUGGGGACUCAGUGGAGACCGCCGGGGUCAACUCGGAGGAAGGUGGGGAUGACGUCAAGUCAUCAUGCCCCUUAUGUCCAGGGCUUCACGCAUGCUACAAUGGCUGGUACAGAGAGUGGCGAGCCUGUGAGGGUGAGCGAAUCUCGGAAAGCCGGCCUCAGUUCGGAUUGGGGUCUGCAACUCGACCUCAUGAAGUCGGAGUCGCUAGUAAUCGCAGAUCAGCAACGCUGCGGUGAAUACGUUCCCGGG
Molecule: ribosomal RNA, 1343 nt
Filed under: uncultured bacterium
Lineage: Bacteria
Description: 16S ribosomal RNA
Rfam family: Bacterial small subunit ribosomal RNA
Source: RNAcentral